AUGUGAUCUGGGUUUUUUUUCCUUCAUUUAUUAGAACCAGUCACAUACCUAUUUUCAGGCAUGCUCAGUAAAGACCGCCUAUAGUAUAAAUACAACCCUUGCCUCAUAUGCACUCUGUUUAGUACGAAUACGGAACAUGGCUGGUUCCUGGGUUUUCAUUCUGAUCUUCUGCACCAUCAAUACAGUCCAAACUCGGAGGAAUUUUUCCCAUUCUGUCACAGAACCAGAUGUUUAUCAGCUGGAUGAAGUACUCUGUGUGGAUAUCGGUGACUCGGUUACUCUACAGUGCUGUAUUUUUGGAAAAUAUGAUGGGGUGAUUAUGUGGUACAAGCAACCAAACAGAAAACAGCCCCGGCUUAUGAGCAGAGUAUUUACAAGUAGUGAAGAAAUAUUUUACAAUGAAUUCCAAAAUCUUCGUUUUCAAGUAAAAAGAUCUUCAAACCGCUCUAAUCUGACCAUUUCUAACAUCAUCCAGUCUGAUGAAGCCAUGUACUACUGUGCUACCCCAGCACCAUACAGUGUGUUUGGAAAUGGGACAUAUUUAAAAAUUAAAGGUGAACAUGUUACUAUUGAAUCAGAAACAUCUAAACCAGCUCUGGGUGAUAAUUCAGUGGGCUGUGAACCAACACUGCAUGGAAACAGCACUAACAUGAACACACAACAGAAAACAGGUCAGAUGCCUGAUAAUUCACUAUUAAUUAAUCAUCCUUAAUUCAUAAUAUAGUGAAAUCACAUUUUCAGAAGUGACCAGAUCUCUCCACUCCUCAGUGCUCGGUUUGGGAACGGCUUUGGGUUUGUGUGCACUUCUGAUUUUCUGUCUCAUUUAUUUCAUACUGAGGAGAAGAAAAUGGGAUAAAAGUAAGUGCUUUGUGAUCAGAUAAUAAUUACUUCCAUACAGUUUUAACAAAAAGACUAAUAGGUGUGUUUCUGUGUUCAUAGCAAAAGCAUCUACAGAAUUUUCUCCCGGAGCGAUGCAGGUACGUGUGCAGAUCAGUAAACAAUUCAUACAAUCUACAGUAUAAUGUAAGUAAAGACUGUAUGAUAGACUAUAGUUCUGUAGAUAGCACGCAUAAAGAUGAGCCUAACAUGCAUGACCAUUAAAUGCUUUUACAUUUAUUUACACCUGUAAUUUGUCUACAUUUAAUUUAUACAGUCUCUUUGAUCAGCUGUGUACUAUAAUUUCAGCUUCAUUAUUAUUAUUAGUAGGAAGCAAGCAAGCAAGCAAGCACAACUUUAUUCAUCACACACUUGUGAAAUUCCUGUCUGCGUUUAACUCAUCUGAAGCAGUGAACACACACAUGCACACAUGUGAACAAUGAGCACACACACACAUACCCAGAGCAGUGGGCAGCCAUGCUAACAGCGCCCGGGGAGCAAUUGGGAGUUCGGUGCCUCGCUCAAGGGCACCUCAGCCCAAGGCCAUCCCAUAUUAACCUAACCACAUGUCUUCGGACUGUGGGGGAAACCGGAGCACCCGGAGGAAACCCACACAGACACGGGGAGGACAUGCAAUCUCCACACAGAAAGGCCCCCGCCAGCCGCUUGGCUCGAACCCAGAACUUUCUUACUGUGAUGUGACUGUGCUAACCACUACACCACCGUGACACCCCUAAUAGUAGUAGUAGUAGUAGUAGUAAUAUUAGUAGUAUUAAUAGUAAUAGUAGCCAUAGUGAUGAUGGUGGUAGUAGUAGUAAUAUUAGUAGUAUUAAUAGUAAUAGCAGUCAUAGUGGUGGUGGUAGUAGUAGUAGUACUAGUAGUUAUAUUGGUGGUGGCAGUAGUAAUAUUAGUAGUAUUAAUAGUAUUAGUAGUCAUAGUGGUGGUGGUAGUAGUAGUAGUUAUAUUGGUGGUAGUAGUAAUAUUAGUAGUAUUAAUGGUAAUAGUAGCCAUAGUGGUGGUAGUGGUAGUAGUUACUGUAUAUUGGUGGCAGUAGUAUUAAUAGUGGUGGUGGUAGUAGUAGUCUAAAGUCCUUCCCGUGCCAUAUGGCACAUCGGGCGGCGCCGAUCUCCAUUUCUGCAGCCCUCGGCCUCUCACCUAUUACAUAGCUAGGGUUACAGUGGGGGGCCAGUCCUCUGGUAACCACGAGAGUUUAACUCCCCUACUCACAUCUGUAUUGCAGCGUGCCUUGCCAGAUGGUAGUAAGUACCAUUUUUAUGAUGGUCUUUGGUAUGACCUGACCGUGAAUAGAACUCACGAUCUCCCGAUCGAGAGGCGGACACGCUACCACUAGGCCACUAGCCGGUCGGUGGUAGUAGUAGUUAUAUUGGUGGUAGUAGUCGUAAUAUUAGUAGUAUUAAUGGUAAUAGUAGCCAUAGUGGUGGUAGUAGUGGUCGUAGUUAUAUUGGUGGUAGCAGUAGUAAUAUUAGUAGUAUCAAUGGUAAUAGUAGCCAUAGUGGUGGUAGUAGUGGUAGUAGUUAUAUUGGUGGUAGCAGUAGUAAUAUUAGUAGUAUUAACAGUAAUGGUAGCCAUAGUGGUGAUGGUGGUAGUAGUAGUAGUAGCAGUAGUAGUAAUAUUAUUAGUAUUAAUAGUAAUAGUAGUCAUAGUGGUGGUAGUAGUAGUAGUUAUAUUGGCAGUGAUAGUAGUAGUAGUGGUGGUUGGAAUAUUAAUAGUAGCAGUAGUAGUUGCAGUAAUAGUAGAAGUUGAAGUAGUGGUAGCAGUAGUAUUAAUAGUAGUAUUCAUACUGUAGUAGUAGCGGUAGUGGUAGUUGCAGCAGUAGUAGUAGUAGCAGCAGCAGCAGUAGUAGUCAUAAUAGUUGUAGUAGUGGUAUUAUAUAUGUUAUUUAUUCCCUCCACCAGGAAUCUGAAGCAGAAACACUGAAUUAUGCAGCGUUGAAAUUCUCCAAGAGGAAAGCCGGAGUUGAAAAAAGGAAAGCUGAUUCAUCACAUGAGUAUGUGUACUCCGAAGUGAAAUAUAGCUGUAAUACAUAAAAUUAAUGAUUCAUAACACAUCUUUCUAACAAUUUAUCUUAUCCCUUUAAUUUAAUUUAAUUUAAUUUAAUUUAAUUUAAUUUAAUUUAAUUUAAUUCCAUUGAAUUUAAUUUCCUGAUUACUACUACUGAAAACAGCUCCUGUUUUGCACUUUGUACAGAUUUUGUGGCAUUGUUUAUAUGAA
Molecule: non-coding RNA, 3108 nt
Organism: Neoarius graeffei (lesser salmon catfish)
Lineage: Eukaryota; Metazoa; Chordata; Actinopteri; Siluriformes; Ariidae
Source: the annotation of a RefSeq genome assembly